This 614-nucleotide ribosomal RNA is filed under the name Rhodotorula mucilaginosa. Its description in RNAcentral is "eukaryotic LSU rRNA". It matches the Rfam family "Eukaryotic large subunit ribosomal RNA", at positions 38 to 667 of the family's 3401-position model. The record is from RNAcentral. Lineage: Eukaryota; Fungi; Basidiomycota; Microbotryomycetes; Sporidiobolales; Sporidiobolaceae.
GCAUAUCAAUAAGCGGAGGAAAAGAAACUAACAAGGAUUCCCCUAGUAGCGGCGAGCGAAGCGGGAAGAGCUCAAAUUUAUAAUCUGGCACCUUCGGUGUCCGAGUUGUAAUCUCUAGAAAUGUUUUCCGCGUUGGACCGCACACAAGUCUGUUGGAAUACAGCGGCAUAGUGGUGAGACCCCCGUAUAUGGUGCGGACGCCCAGCGCUUUGUGAUACAUUUUCGAAGAGUCGAGUUGUUUGGGAAUGCAGCUCAAAUUGGGUGGUAAAUUCCAUCUAAAGCUAAAUAUUGGCGAGAGACCGAUAGCGAACAAGUACCGUGAGGGAAAGAUGAAAAGCACUUUGGAAAGAGAGUUAACAGUACGUGAAAUUGUUGGAAGGGAAACGCUUGAAGUCAGACUUGCUUGCCGAGCAAUCGGUUUGCAGGCCAGCAUCAGUUUUCCGGGAUGGAUAAUGGUAGAGAGAAGGUAGCAGUUUCGGCUGUGUUAUAGCUCUCUGCUGGAUACAUCUUGGGGGACUGAGGAACGCAGUGUGCCUUUGGCGGGGGUUUCGACCUCUUCACACUUAGGAUGCUGGUGGAAUGGCUUUAAACGACCCGUCUUUGAAACACGGACC